This is a non-coding RNA of Acanthosepion pharaonis, 111 nucleotides long. The record is from the annotation of a GenBank genome assembly. NCBI's taxonomy places the organism in Eukaryota, Metazoa, Mollusca, Cephalopoda, Sepiida, Sepiidae.
UGACCAUAUCACGUUGAAAUACCGCUUUCCGUACGAUCACAAAAGUUAAGUAACGUCGAGUCUGAUCAGUAUCUAGAUGGGUGACCACUUAGGAAUACCAAGUGCCGUAAG